UAAGGAAUAUUCCACAAUGGGCGAAAGCCUGAUGGAGCGACGCCGCGUGAGGGAAGAAGGCCUUCGGGUUGUAAACCUCUUUUCUCCGGGAUGACACGUCUCCUUAUACGAGACUGGGACAGUACCGGAGGAAUAAGCCUCGGCUAACUACGUGCCAGCAGCCGCGGUAAUACGUAGGAGGCGAGCGUUGUCCGGAUUUACUGGGCGUAAAGCGCGCGCAGGCGGCAUGGUAAGUACGUUGUGAAAUCUCCCUGCUCAACGGGGAGGGUGCGGCGUAGACUGCCAAGCUAGAGGACGGUAGAGGGGGGUGGAAUUGCUGGUGUAGCGGUGAAAUGCGUAGAGAUCAGCAGGAACACCCGUGGCGAAGGCGGCCCCCUGGGCCGAACCUGACGCUGAGGCGCGAAGGCUAGGGGAGCGAACGG
This 422-nucleotide ribosomal RNA is filed under the name uncultured bacterium. RNAcentral describes it as "bacterial SSU rRNA". It matches the Rfam family "Bacterial small subunit ribosomal RNA", at positions 355 to 775 of the family's 1533-position model. The record is from RNAcentral.